AAACGUUUUGUUAUGCAGAGAGAAAUUGAGACACCAGAGCACUUACGUAUUCUGAACCGUAGUGUCUUGUCAAUUUUUAUAAAGCGAUUUCACUGGAACAUUGAGCAAGCAGAUUUAUUGAUAUUCAAGCUAAUAUACGAUUAGAUAUGCCUGCGUACCUGUUACGUAAUUGCCUACCACACGAGGUGCGCUCAUUAGCCUAAUUUCUCUUAUAUAUGCAAUAUUUGCGAGAUAUGUAGUUCGUUACUUCGACCUCGCGGCUGGAAUAAUUAAAGCUCAUCAAGAUGUAACGCCGAGGAGCGCAUCGAGUGGACGGGGUGGAUGGAUAAGAAUAUGAGAUCUAUUUGAGUUAUGAUUAAAUAUUAUAAAAAUUAUAUGAUCGUGGAAGCGCCGAGAGUCGUUCCCAGACGUCUCAGAGUCGUUUUAUCUCGAAAACGCAGCUAAUUGCGAGUAUAAUUAACACCGCCGAGUGACGUAACGUCCCGCACCGCUCUCGACUUAUGGAUAUUCAUGAGCAAUAAGUGACGUGAAGGAUGUUGUUCUUCCAAGUCCUAGUACGCCGCGCUCUUUAACGUAACGCCGCGCACGUAAUUGAAGUCCGGUGAGCGAUAAUUAUCCGGGUAUUUACAUAAACGUGAAAAACUCAUUCAUAUAACGUGUAAUGAGCUUUAGAGGAAAAAAUUGAUGUCAACACUGUGACGCAUGAAGAAAUGCGUUACCCAAUGUACGCGCAUAACUUAGGAAUCGACAAAACUUUAUUUACCGCGAUCACACGUGAUGUUUUGAAGUUUUCAUAAACUUUAUAUAUAAGUCUCUGUAGAUGUUACUAAAAUACUGAAUAUUGUGAUUUAUAAAAAUGUCGAGAAUAUCAGAAUAAACGGCAUGAGAUUAUAGCUUCAAUAAUAA
This is a long non-coding RNA of Wasmannia auropunctata (little fire ant), 906 nucleotides long. RefSeq lists it as uncharacterized. The record is from RefSeq and is a predicted model, not a curated record. The transcript has 2 exons. NCBI's taxonomy places the organism in Eukaryota, Metazoa, Arthropoda, Insecta, Hymenoptera, Formicidae.